This 245-nucleotide long non-coding RNA is filed under the name Salvia miltiorrhiza (redroot sage). Its description in RNAcentral is "long non-coding RNA (SMIL_LNC009278)". Lineage: Eukaryota; Viridiplantae; Streptophyta; Magnoliopsida; Lamiales; Lamiaceae. The record is from RNAcentral.
UAUCUUUGAGUUUUGCAAAAUCUGGAGUUGUAGUGAAUUUCGUCAAUGUAAUAUUCUAAGCGUUUAGUUUGGUAAAAUAAGUAUUGGAAUGAUUGAAUUUUGAAAUAGUUGUCUUUGAAGUUGAACCUUUAACAGGAGUAGUAGGUGCGGGAGCUUUAACUAUUUGAGAGUACGGGAGUUCUGGGAAUUCUGCAAGGGCUUGGAAUUGAUUCGGAUUAUUUGGAUUGUAUCGACUCAUGCUUUUC